RNAcentral lists this long non-coding RNA (200 nucleotides) under Ricinus communis (castor bean). Its description in RNAcentral is "long non-coding RNA (RCOM_LNC002252)". Lineage: Eukaryota; Viridiplantae; Streptophyta; Magnoliopsida; Malpighiales; Euphorbiaceae. The record is from RNAcentral.
GGAUGUUGUUCCUAUUUUCAAUUCCUAGAUCUGGAGCAGUACUCCUAGGAGUAUGCCAGGUUAAUCUAGGGGCUUGUAAUCCCAAUCUGUUGAUGUUGGAGGGUUUUUCAAGCUCUGAAUCAUUAGAUUCAUCGCUUUGGGCUUGAUCUAGGGCACUGAUAUUCCUACUGCUUUGAGGAGUAUCUGGCACUAGAUUUUUG